UGGGGAAUAUUGGACAAUGGGCGCAAGCCUGAUCCAGCAAUGCCGCGUGUGUGAAGAAGGCCUGUGGGUUGUAAAGCACUUUCAGGGGGGAGGAAGUUACCGUAAGGUAAUUGACGUUACCCUCAGAAGAAGCACCGGCUAACUCUGUGCCAGCAGCCGCGGUAAUACAGAGGGUGCGAGCGUUAAUCGGAAUGACUGGGCGUAAAGCGCGCGUAGGUGGUUAUACAAGUUGGGUGUGAAAUCCCUGGGCUCAACCUAGGAAUUGCAUUCAAAACUAUAUGACUUGAGUGGAGUAGAGGUAAGUGGAAUUUCCGGAGUAGCGGUGAAAUGCGUAGAUACCGGAAGGAACACCAGUGGCGAAGGCGACUUACUGGGCUCUAACUGACACUGAGGUGCGAAAGCGUGGGGAGCAAACAGG
Molecule: ribosomal RNA, 418 nt
Filed under: uncultured bacterium
Lineage: Bacteria
Description: bacterial SSU rRNA
Rfam family: Bacterial small subunit ribosomal RNA
Source: RNAcentral